This 301-nucleotide ribosomal RNA is filed under the name uncultured bacterium. Its description in RNAcentral is "partial 16S ribosomal RNA". It matches the Rfam family "Bacterial small subunit ribosomal RNA", at positions 509 to 807 of the family's 1533-position model. The record is from RNAcentral.
CAGUCGCCACGGUAAUACGAAGGGUGCAAGCGUUAAUCGGAAUUACUGGGUGUAAAGCGUGCGUAGGCGGUUUGUUAAGUCUGUUGUGAAAUCCCCGGGCUCAACCUGGGAAUGGCAAUGGAUACUGGCAAGCUAGAGUGUGUCAGAGGAUGGUGGAAUUCCCGGUGUAGCGGUGAAAUGCGUAGAGAUCGGGAGGAACAUCAGUGGCGAAGGCGGCCAUCUGGGACAACACUGACGCUGAGGCACGAAAGCGUGGGGAGCAAACAGGAUUAGAUACCCCAGUAGUCCCUGUCUCUUAUAC